This is an RNA transcript of Rosa chinensis, 7483 nucleotides long. It is a transcript of the gene named probable disease resistance protein At4g27220, with no coding region annotated. The transcript is spliced from 10 exons. Lineage: Eukaryota; Viridiplantae; Streptophyta; Magnoliopsida; Rosales; Rosaceae. The record is from RefSeq and is a predicted model, not a curated record.
ACCACCUAAUAGUACAGAAAAUCCCAAAUGCUAUUUGUCCAGAACCUACAAAAGUCUCAUCAGAUUUAUUUCCAAUUUCUCGAACCUCUAUCCCUCCUUGGUGGUGGAUUCUUUCAUUUGAUUUUUGCAGUUUCUUUUUACCUGCCUGUACUGAGACCUUGUUCUUGCAGUUUCUGUUCUUGAUUGCCUCUUGUUUUGAUUUGGUGGUUUUCCAAUGGCCUCCAGCUCCCAAAUAGCCUGUGCUUCUCCUCCUUCAUCAGAUCCAUGUUGGAAAUAUGAUGUGUUUUUAAGUUUCAGGGGUGUAGACACUCGCAAGGGGAUCACAGUCGACAUACACGAUCGGCUAAAUAGGAGUGGAAUCAAAACAUUCAUGGAUGAGCAGGACCUUCAAGUAGGAGAUGCUAUUUCUCCCACACUCUUAGCAGCAAUCAAAGAAUCAAGGUUUGCAAUUGUUGUUCUCUCGCAAAAUUAUGCUUCUUCUACUUGGUGUUUGGAGGAACUCAGAGAGAUUUGUCUAUGCAUGAAAGACCAGAACAGAAUUUUGCCACUUUUCUAUCACGUGGAGCCCUCUGAUGUUCGAUACCAGAACAAGGGGAGUUUCGAAGAAGCUUUCUCUAAGCAUAAAACCUCUGGUCGACAUGAAUUAGAGAAGGUGAAGCAGUGGAGGGAUGCUUUGUACAAAGUGGCAAAUUUCUCUGGGUGGAAUACAUCUGAUUAUAAGACUCACAAAAAACUUGUUGACGCCAUUGAGGAAUUUCUCCGCAGUAAAGUUCUAACUGAUGCAAUUGAGUCCACAAGAGAUUUCAAAACAUUUAAAGCAACAAGAAAAGCCAUGGAUGAGGUUAUGAAGGCGCUAAAAGAUGACGAGGUCACUACCAUUGGUGUCUACGGCAUGGGAGGAGUUGGAAAGACAACCAUGGUAAGACAUGUCGGUGCACAAGCCCAAAAAAGGGGGAUUUUUCAUCAUGUGAUUAUGGCAGUCGUAUCCCAAAGCCCUGACUUGGAAAAAAUUCAAAGAACAUUGGCAGAACUGUUGGGAGUUAAAUUGUCGGAGGUGACAGAAAUUGGAAGAGCAGCUAGAUUGAGUAAGCAAAUGAGAAGAAAUAAGAUCCUUAUAAUCCUGGAUGACAUUUGGGAGAGAAUGGACUUAUCAAAAAUAGGAGUACCUAGCUACAAGGAACUUCAAAAGUGCAAUUCCAAAGUCCUACUUACCACAAGGAUAAGGAAUGUCUGUCAUGUCAUGAGAUGCCAAAGAAAUAUCACCCUCAGUAUCCUAUCAAAAGGUGAUUCUUGGACCUUGUUUAUGAGAAAUGCGGGAAGGUCUUUUGAAUCCACCAAUUUUGAGGAUGUAGCGAGGAGGGUAGCUAGAGAAUGCUGUGGUCUACCGAUUGCAUUGAUAACAGUUGCAAGGGCACUCGGAGAUAAAGACUUGGUGGAAUGGAAAAGAGCAGUUCAACGACUAGAGAAGUCGCAAACUGCCAACCCUGACGAUCAAGGAGAUGCAUCCAAAUGUAUAAAAUUAAGCUAUGAUUACUUGAAAGAUGAGGAGUACAAGUCAUACUUCUUGCUCUGUUGCUUAUUCCCAGAAGACUAUGAAAUCGAAAUAGAAGACUUGUUCAGGUAUGCGAUAGGUAAAGGAUUGUUUCGAGAUGCCGACACACUUGAAGAAGCCAGAGAGAGAGCUGAUUCCGUGGCCAGGCACCUUCAAUAUUCUUGCUUGCUUUUGGACGCAGACAGAUCUUGGAGGACAGCAAGAAUAAGAUGUGUAAGGAUGCAUGAUGUUGUCCGGGAUACAGCCAUUCAGAUUGUGCAAUCUGAACAUGGGUUUUUGGUGAGAGCUGGCUGUGAUUUAAAGGACUGGCCACGUCAAUUAUAUGAAGGCUGUUCUGCAAUCUCACUAAUGCAGAAUAAAAUUAGCAAGCUACCCGAAAAAUUGGUAUGUCCAGAACUUCAGAUUUUGUUACUAAACUCUAAUUUCUCUAUGGUAGAGAUCCCAGAAACAUUCUUCCAAGGUCCAAAUAAGUUAACGGUUGUAGAUCUUUCAAACACUGGCAUCACUUUACUACCCGAAUCAUUCAGUCUCCUGAUCAACCUCCAAGCUUUGUGUAUAGAUAGAUGUCACAACCUUGACACUUCUAUACUAGGAAAAUUGAAAAAGCUUGAGAUUCUUAGCAUGAGAUUCUGUCGUGUAAAGAAGUUGUCGAGAAAGAUGGGAAAUUUGAUCAAUCUAAGGAUGUUGGAUAUCACUGAUGCAGUUAUUGAUACAAUUCCAUCGAAGGUGAUAUCAAAGUUUCAUAAUUUAGAAGAACUGUACAUGCAAGGAUUUUGGAACUGGGGGAGUAAAGUUGAGGGAGAAGGAGAAGAAACCAAUGCUGGUUUUGACGAGGUAACUAGCUUGUCAAAUUUAAGAGUUUUGAAGGUUUGUAUCUCCAAAGCAGAACGUAUCCCUAAAUAUGUUGAUUUCAAACCGAAUUGGGUCGAGUUUGAUAUACUUAUCGGUAGAGACGACUCGCAGAGAAUCUUUAAUCCAUAUGGUCAGAAGUCAUUAUCCUUGAAGCUUGUCACCAUCAGUCGCUUACCGAACUGGUUUUGCAACGCGCUGAUGAACACUGCAGAGAAGCUAUGGUGGGAAGGCCGCCAAAAUUUUGGUGACAUAUUUGUGGAAUAUGAGUUGAUGAACACAAUAAUACGGGUUCCAAAAGAACCUGUGUUCGAGUACUUGGUAGAGUUGCAUCUGUAUUUCGUGAAUGGCCUAGAGUUAUGUGUUGGUGAAUUGCCACUUGGGUCUCUAUUUAAUUUGAAGUUAUUGGAGGUAAAAUUUUGUUAUAAUUGGGGGAACGUAUUUUUACCAUCAAAUUUGUUACUACCAAACCUAGAAGAACUAAAUUGUCGUUUCACGGGCGGGAUUGAAUAUGUGUUUGGGUAUGAAGCGUUAUAUCAGCCAAAGCAAUCAAAAUUGAGAAAGAUAGAGUUGAACUAUCUGAUGACAGUAAGAAGCAUAUGUCAUGGACCUGCUCCAACUGCAAUGUUUCAGGCUCUUCAAAGUUUGACCAUUAGGCGGUGCAACUUCCAGGGAAGUCUCUUCACCUCUGAUGUUGCUCAAUGUCUUUCUCAAUUGAAUUAUCUUGAACUACACGAUUGCCCCUCUUUGGAAAGAAUAGUUGAAGCAAGCAACAAGAAGAUCAUUCUUCCAAAAUUGAGGCGAUUGACUUUGUUGGUACUUCCAAUGUUGUCCCAUGACAGUGCUACUUUUGAGUGUCCUUCACUGGUAUACUUGGACUUGUGGGGCUGCCCCAACUUUUCCGCCUCUUUUUCCGACUUCCACAGCAGGGAAACAAGGACCUACUAUUAGGUCUCAUUGUUUUGACAUAUGGGUUUCAGAAAGGGCUGUUCGCAGUUUUCAAUUUAGAAACCCUAAUCUCCCACCUGAUGGCCUCCGCCAACGAGCAGCGAUCCCAGGCCUAGCUCCUCUUCAGUCUCUGCAAGCAGACCGAUCCUGACUCGCUCUCACUCAAACUCGCUCACCUCCUCCAAAUCUCGCCGGCGCAGGAGGCCCGGGCCAUGUCCGCCAUUAUCCUCCGCAGGCAGCUCACCUGCGACGACUCCUAUAUCUAGCCCAGGCUCUCCCCGACGACGCAGUCCAGCCUCAAAUCGAUUCUCCUGUCCGUCCUGUAUUCAACGCGAGGAGGUCAAAUCGAUUUCCAAGAAGCUCUGCGACACCAUCUCCGAGCUCGCCUCCGAAAUCUUGCUGACAACGGCUGGCCGGAGCUCCUCCCGUUCAUGUUCCGGAGAUAGGGAUAGGUUUCAGGACCUAUUGCCGGCGAUGAUGAGGACAUUCAUGGAGUCUUUGAACAACGGGAACGAGGCCACGGCACAGGAGGCACUCGAGUUGUUCAUCGAAUUGGCUGGGACCGAGCCAAGGUUCCUCAGGAGGCAGAUUUUGGAGGUGGUUGGCUCUAUGCUGCAUGUUGCUGAAGCUGAGUCCUUGGAAGAAGGGACCAGACACUUGGCCAUAGAGUUUGUAAUCACUCUAGCCGAGGCCAGCGAUCGAGCCCCGGGGAUGAUGAGGAAGUUGCCGCAGUUUAUUAGUAGGUUGUUUGCCAUUUUGAUGAAGAUGGUUUUGGAUAUUGAGGAUGAUCCCUCAUGGCAUACCGCGGAGACUGAAGAUGAGGAUGCUGGUGAGAGUGGUAAUUACAGUGUUGGGCAGGAGUGUUUGGAUAGGCUUGCCAUUUCCUUGGGUGGGAAUACCAUUGUUCCCAUCGCGUCCGAGCAGUUGCUUGCCUAUUUGGCUGCCUCCGAGUGGCAGAAACACCAUGCAGCAUUGAUUGCCCUUGCAUAGAUUGCUGAGGGUUGUUCUAAGGUAAUGAUAAAAAAUUUGGAGCAAGUGGUGGCAAUGGUCUUGAACUCGUUUCAAGAUCCUCAUCCUCGUGUAAGGUGGGCAGCUAUUAAUGCGAUUGGACAGUUGUCUACUGAUUUGGGCCCAGACCUGCAAGUUCAAUAUCAUCAACGGGUGCUUCCGGCAUUAGCUGCUGCCAUGGAUGAUUUUCAAAACCCUCGUGUGCAGGUACAUUGAUAUCAGUGGCUAAUUUAUUUAUCUGUAAUGACACUUGUGAAGAGAAAUAAGAGUGUCUAAGAAGCUGACAUUCUUGGUGGCUUGAACAAGAUAAUAGUUGGUGUAUUAUUAGGAGACUAUAUCUAAGGCUCUUUUUCUUAUUGGUUACCACAAGUGUAGAGGUAUUUUCAAUCGAGACUUCACGAGAGGAGCGGUGACUGAUAGGCUACCCUAGUCACAAAGGAUCAAUCUGAUUGGAUUAUUGAACAAUUAUAGCAUCUGUCUCCAAAAUCAGCAUGAACACCAUAUGACUGCUAAGCACUAGUGCAUCUCACAUGCGUUAUUGUCUUGUAGGGUUCCAGACGUGAACAUAUUUCUUGAUUUGUUAUACCAGAUGAAUGCAAACUUGUGUUUCACACAGUGAUAGAUGCCAUAGUUAUUGAGGCUAUGAAGAAAGUACUGUGAAUAUGGUUUUGAAGGAUGUAUCUCAUGGUACUGGGGAUUUAUUUGUUAUGUAGCAGCAGUCAUCCGAAAAUUGUUAUUAGGCUUUCAUAGGUAGGAAACAAAAUGACUGGAAUCUGGUGAAUUAGUUAUUAGAUGCGACUUAAAUUCAAUGCAAAUUUUUACUGGAUCUAUAAAAGAACGUGAAAACUUGGAUCCUAUAGUAGAUAUAUUAUGGAUGCUAAACUUAUGAUUUGCAAAGUAUAUUUUCACUUUUUUUUUUUUUUUUUCCUUUUAGCUCAGAUUUAUUGCAAGUUAAUUUUCUCCCUUCUGUUGUUGCAAAACUUUUCCUUGCUUGGUGGGUUUAUAUUGGAACAGAUUUCUCAAUGAAAUCUUUACUGCCAUUGGCCGGGGAUGUCAUUCUUCUUUUCAUUAUUACGUGGUUCAUGACAUUUUUCACGUAGAAAACUAAAGGCCAAACCAUUUGUAGUUCCAUAGAUUCUGGAGGUCAAUUGACAGCUCAUUAUUCUAACGAGUGGCUUAGACAUUGAUUGUUUCUAUUUUAGAAUUCUCUAAAUUGAUGAAUGUCUGUCUAGAAUCCCCACCUUUGUUAUAAGCAGAUAAUAAGUGCCACUUUUGUAUGCUGUCAUAGAAUUCCAAUAAUUUCUCAGUGAUAGGAACUCAUGCAUACCUGUCCUAUUUUCUAAUACAAUCCCUUAUAUCUCAGAAUUGUGGAUUUUCUGGCUAUAGAGUGCUUUUCUUGGUUUUGUUAAUUGAAUUUCUGAUUAAGCAUACUCUGAUAUAUUAUUCGAUAUUAAAAAACAUUCUUGCAUUAGCUUCUGUUCAUUUGGAUAUCGUAUAAGCCGUAUACUAUUAUUAUCUUCAAAAUGAAUACAUUCCUCUAAGAAUUGCGAAUUAUAGUUUCAGUUGAAAAAUGCAAUUGGAAUUAUUUAAAGCUUGUUAUGUGCUAGAGGUACACAUAUUUCCUACAUCUGCUUGUAUUCAGUUCUGCUCUAUCAGCAAAGACUCUGAGCCCACAAUACCCUGCUUAAUGCCUGUAAAGGGGAACUAUUUCUCUUGAAUUGUUUUUGUACUUUAAAAUGUUGUGAGACAAGUAUAUUCAUUUGAAAAGUUGUGCAACAUAUGUAAAUAUGGAGGUAUACUAGAGAGGCUCUAAAGAAACAAAAAGUACAUGAAGUAACAACCAGACUCCGGAAAGUUAGAACAUCAAAUGGUAUCCGAAUUCUCCUUGACCUGGUUGAUGCGAGUCAUCAGUAGCAUUAGUUCAAGACUUGCUUGCUGGGGAUGCCAAUGGUUGGCUUCACUUGCUUAACCAAAUGCUUGAGAAUCUGAACAAUGGUUUUGUAAAAGGGGCUGUACUUAAUUUGUUCUUUGAAUAACUAGAAACUUCUCAAACAAAUCCAGUUUGGCUUUAUCAAACUGAAAGGAGAUAAUACACUACAGCCCCCUUCAAUCCCUCUGAGUGAAUUGCGUUAAGAGCCCCCUUCCCCCUUCAAUCUUUCUCAUUGGCAUAUAUUUACACUGCAGAUGGCUCCUUAUGAUCUUCUUUUUGUAGUUUUUGUUUUGCACAGAAGUUCUGGGAGAUACACUUGCAACUCAUUUAGACAAAUGCCUCGUGUUUAUAUUGGGUGCAUGAAGUCAGGCGAAGUUUUCUCUGAGCUGAGUCAAAAGUGGUAUGAACCAGAAUGGUGGAAGGUUGGUGAUGAAAAAUCAUAUUUUCGCCAUGCUUCAGGUGAGAUGUACGUCAUUUCUCAAGGUCUGCCCAAAUUUGUUUGAAUAAAUUGCUCCUAUCAUCAUUAGUUUCAUCAAGGAACAAGCACUACCAAAAAGAAUUGACGUAAUUGAUAUUUUCGCCAUGCUUCAUGUGAGAUGUAUGACAUUUCUCAAGGUCUGGCCAAUUUUGUUCGAAUAAAUAGAGAUAUUCUCCGUACCUAUGCCCAUGAUGAUGUCAGUGUCGGAUCUUGGUUAAUUGGGCUUGAUGUUAAACAUCUUAAUGACGCCAAGUUUUGCUGCUCCUCUUGGACAGCAGGAGCCAUUUGUGCUGGUGUAUGAUUUGAUUUGCUUUGAGGUGGUGGAUCAAAGUAAAACUGUGAGAUGUUUGCAGCCUGCACAAUGUAGAGUAUGAAGAUCGAGGAAAAACCAUAUCUGUGAUUGAGAAUUUAUUCUAAGCGUCUUACCCGUAGGUGAAGUAGCUUUGUUCCCAUUACAGUACACUGCAGAUAGGAAAGAAGGGAUUUCAACAAACUAUGCCUAGAGAAGGCAGUCGGUAUAGCUUUAUAGGUUUAAAUUUGUUAAUUUUACAGUGUAAUAGAGGGUGUUCUUAUUGCAACAUAAUCAAACACAUUUCUUUUGUAGCAUGUUGAUUCGCCUUGGGUUAUUCUUUAUUCAGAGUAGUAAAAAUUUUGGAUUUCCUUUGAAAUUAUGUACUCAUCUCUGGAAUGAUGGUCAAGAUUGGUACAUUCUUGAAUU